AUGAGACGUGUUCGUUGCUGGCGACCUUGAUGGUCGCCGUGCGGGCAUCGACGUCGACUGUGGAGUCGUCGUCGCUGCAGUGGAGAUCGGUCAGCUCCCAGCCGGCUUUGGCGGCCUCGGUGACGGUGUAGGUGCCGGGCACGACGACGUCGAAGUCCUUGGUAUCGCCCAGCGCGUCGCCAUUGUCGCCGUCGUCCUCGAGGCUGAAGUCGGACAGGCUGUUCCCGCCCGUCGUGGUGUAGUCGAAGUUCGUCCCGCUCUCCGGAUGGGCUUCCUUGAUGAUGGUGACCGAGCCGCAGUUGUUGAGGUCGAUCGGGAAGGUCCGGGCCGUGUCCUUCAGCUGCGAGCUGGCCGGGUCGCCGCCGGUGCGGCUGCGCAUGUGGCCGCUGGAGAAGCCGGGGCAGGCCGUCUCGAUGCCGAGCUUGGAGAGGUCGAUGGACGCCUCCGCGAAGUCGAACGACGGGAUGGUGUAGCCGAAGCCCGAAUUGGUGAGGUCGACGAAGUUGGUCGCGCUGCGGACGGCGCCAAGCGUCGUCGCGUCGCCGACCUUGACGAAGUCGACGGUCUGUCCGCUCGGGAAGUUCAGGACGUUGGCCAUCGCGUAGAUGGUCACGAUCGGAUUGCUGCCGCCGUUCGAAUACUCGAGCGAGAUCAGCAGGUCGCCGGCGGUCCGGUCGGGCUUGGGCGGCCCGCCAGCCGGGUAGACCUUGAACGGCUUCUUGUUCAAUUCGAAGUCGACGACCAUGGUGCCGUUAUUGACCAUGCGCUCGGCGCCCAUGUAGGCGAACGCGCUGUUCCCGACCACCUUGGCGUGGGCCAUGAUGUGCUUGAAGUCGGUCUUAGGGUUCGGCCCGGCGGCGUUGACGUAGUCCCAGUCGCGGGUGUCGUCUUCCUUGUUGCCGCCGGCGUAGGCGCUGAUGUCACCGGGAUCGGUCGCGUCCUCGAACAGGAAGGUGGUCGGGGUGCUGGUGCCUCCCGCGCUGGCCACGCCAUUGGGGUCGAGCCAGUCCUGGCCGUCGUCCAUCGGCGGGUUGUUGAUCAGCGUCGCGGGCGUGAUGCCGCCAGGGUUGGUGCUCGCGUUGUUCCCGCGCAGGUCGCCGUCGAUCUCGAAGCCCGACACGGUGUCGGCCAGGAGUCCGCUUGCCGCAAGCGCGGGUGUCGGUGCCGCCAGGACAACCGACUGGAGGAGCAGGGAGAACACAAAAAGAGCGAUCCACAACAAGGUCAAUCCCUUGCGUGUCCGCCCUGCGAGCGCGAACGAUGAUCCCCGGUUCAUCUACGUGAUUCCCCUCUGGUCAGUACGACCAUUCGAUUCGUCGAUAGGUUCGACAGCCCUCUUGUUGGUUGCGAUGCCGAUCGGCAUCGAUGAUCACAGGACCGGCAGAAGUACCGGUCAUCCCAUAGGACCAACGACGGGAUCGUACGGUCCCAAGGGCCGCCGAUGAUACUGGUCGUGUCCAUACCUGGAUAGCC
RNAcentral lists this unclassified non-coding RNA (1473 nucleotides) under uncultured fungus. RNAcentral's name for it is "sequence contains 18S rRNA gene, ITS1, 5.8S rRNA gene, ITS2, 28S rRNA gene". Lineage: Eukaryota; Fungi. The record is from RNAcentral.